This 2990-nucleotide non-coding RNA is filed under the name Pseudomonas aeruginosa. Lineage: Bacteria; Pseudomonadati; Pseudomonadota; Gammaproteobacteria; Pseudomonadales; Pseudomonadaceae. The record is from RNAcentral.
GUGCGACACGCGUAGCGUGUCUCCGACUCCAAGCUGUAGGGCCAGCUUGGAGGAUUUCCGAGAGGAAAUCGCACGCUUGGGUAUCCAUCCCCAGGAACCAAAACCCGCCCAGAAGUCCAUUGCCUUCAAGGACUUGCCGCAGCGGCGGUGGCAACCCCAAGGUCGCCUAGCACUCGGAAGCGCGACUGCGAACCGGCUCUUUUCGGUUCUGGAGUGCAUGCCCAAUGGAGGGUGUUAUGAAUGAGAUGAGCCAAGAUACCUUCGGCAUAAUCAUGCUCACCGGCUUGCUUCUCGUCUGUUUAGGGAUGGCAGCCUGGGCGGAUUGGCCGAGGAUCAAAAGCUACCUCAAACGACCGCCCUCCAAGCACUAACCCCGGCCCUUGUGGCCUAACCCUUGCGGGAGAGAAUCCCCGCUGGGGUUCCUCCUGCCUCAAAACAGGAGGAAACCUUCCCCGAGAGCACGCUGCGCCCGCAGUACCUGCUCACAUCAAACUGGAGACAUGGGCGGAAGCUCUGUCUGUCAUUGUCCAACCACGCCCAUCAGGGUGCGGUAGCGGACUCGUUGUGCGACCAACGGUAGCCUACGACGACGUGCAUCGCUGGUAACGGCGUUGUGCGAAGCUCGUCCGACAACGUAGCCCCCUAUCCAGGGUGCAGUCCUUCCGCGAGGCAGACUGCAGAUACUCGGAGCAGUACCGGGUUGAGGCGCCAGGCUGGCUGGUAUGGGCAACACAUGUGAAUCGCUGAUAAACACCGUAAGGAUAGCCAUGCCAAAACUGCUGUCAGGCAUGAACCAAAAGGUAUGUGGUCGGUUAUCUCCGUGGGAUGUGGGGAUACGUCGCCUUCAAGACCACCGGUGAAAAGGCGAGUCCUAACCCAGUCGUGUGACAGAUAGGGAACGUGGUAAGCCCGUAUCGCCGCCCUCUGGGCAGGGGAGCCGCAAGGCGAACUGUUGGUGGUGCGGGUAUGGGAUCGCAGAGAAAGCGAAUGCCGGGCUGUAAUGGUCUGGAUAGGGGUUGAGACAUCACCCCACGGGAAACCGGGCAGACUUCUGCGUGGUCUUCCGUCGCAACAGCUCUGACAGAGACCGUCUCAAUCAACCCAGGGCCAGCUUCCACCGGCCCUUAACAAACCUACCCUGGCGGGUGCCCCACCCCGUCAGGGGCGGCGUGCACCUUCCGCUCGGGUAGUUCACUUGAGAGGAAAGCAGCAUGAAAGAGCUCAGCCAACAGGCCGGGCCUGCGCUUUCCGGCGCUCCACAGCAAUGGCACGACGUCGAUUGGAGUCGUGUCCAGCGGAACGUCCGGGGAAUGCAGGUGCGGAUUGCGAAGGCUUGCCGGGAAGGCAAAUGGCGCAGGGUGAAAGCCUUGCAACGGAUGCUGACCCGCUCGAAGUCGGCCAGAUACUUGGCCGUACGGAGAGUCACGGAAAAUCAGGGGAGCCGCACGACGGGAGUCGAUAAGCAACUCUGGGAUACACCCAACGCGAAAUGGGAAGCGGUUGGUCAGUUGAAGACGCGGGGAUACAAGGCGCGGCCUCUACGGCGCGUCUUUAUCCCGAAGUCGGAUGGCCGGGAACGCCCUUUGGGUAUCCCGACCAUGACGGAUAGAGCCAUGCAGGCGCUAUAUCUGCUGGCGCUGUCUCCUGUCGCAGAAACCCGGGGCGAUCCGAAUAGCUACGGCUUCAGGAUCGAACGCUCCACGGCGGACGCGAUGGCGCAGUUGUUCGUAUGCCUAUCCAAGCGAGCUUCCGCUCAAUGGGUGCUGGACGCGGACAUCGAAGGGUUCUUCGACAACAUCAACCAUGAUUGGCUGAUAAGGAAUGUCCCCACGGAUACACGAGUACUCCGGCAAUGGUUAAAGGCCGGUGUUGUACACCGAGGGCAGUUGCACGCAACGGAUGCAGGUACGCCACAAGGGGGGAUCAUCUCCCCAACCUUGGCAAAUCUGGCGCUGGAUGGGCUGGAAUCACUCCUCAAGCAACAUUUGGGGGUGACGAGGGCGAAGAGGCUGAAGAUCAACGUGGUGCGUUACGCGGAUGAUUUCGUGAUCACUGGCGCCUCCCCGGAGGUACUGGAAAACGAGGUCAAACCCUGGGUGGAGCAGUUCCUGGCGGUACGCGGGCUGCGGCUUUCUCCCAAGAAAACCCGCAUCGUCCACAUCGACGAAGGCUUCGACUUCCUUGGAUGGAACUUCCGAAAGUACGACGGAACGUUGUUGAUCAAGCCGAGCAAGAAGAACGUCAAGGCGUUCUACGGCAAGGUCAGAGAGGUGAUCGACACCCACAAGACGAGUAAGCAGGAGGACUUGAUCCGACUGCUAAAUCCAAUCCUGCGGGGGUGGGCGCUUUACCAUCAGCCAGUAGUGGCCAAACAGGCGUAUAGCCGGAUGGAUAACAGGGCGUUUGUUAAGCUCUGGCGCUGGGCCAAAAGGCGGCAUCCAAACAAGUCCCUGGACUGGAUACGGAAGAAGUAUUUCCGUCCACAAGGGGAACGCGGAUGGGUGUUCGCCACCACGGUUCUGGAAGCGAACGGAACAAAACGGGAAGUCGAGUUGUACCAGCUUGCAGGGACACCGAUCGAGCGGCACAAAAAGGUGAGUGGGGAAUACAACCCCUACGACCCGACCAUGGAGGCGGCAGGCGAAAAACUGCGCAUGGAACGGAUGCUGAACAAGCUGAAGUACCGGAAGCAAAUCGCCAGUCUAUUCGCCAGCCAAAGUGGGUUAUGCGCGCUAUGCAAACAGCCGAUAUCCAGGGAAACCGGGUGGCACGAUCACCACAUUAUCUACCGCUCACAAGGCGGUGGAGACUCCCUGGAGAACCGGGUACUAUUGCACCCCAUUUGUCACCAACAGCUCCACGCACGUGGUCUGCAUGUGAGCAAACCGGCCCCCUUGGGGGUUUUGGAUAGGCCUGAGCCGUAAGCGCUGAAAGGUGCACGUACGGUUCUUAGGGGGGGAUCAGCCAGUAAUGGCUGGUUCCCACCCGAC